This 879-nucleotide ribosomal RNA is filed under the name Triticum aestivum (bread wheat). RNAcentral describes it as "partial small subunit ribosomal RNA". The record is from RNAcentral. Lineage: Eukaryota; Viridiplantae; Streptophyta; Magnoliopsida; Poales; Poaceae.
AUGACCCGGGAGGAGAAGGUAGAUCCGGUGAAAGCAAAGCGCACUCUGGCUGCCCUGACAAAACCACCAAAGUCUCCGCCGAGAGGCAACUAUGAGCGCAUUCUUGCAAAGACAUAUGCCGAAGCGGAGCGAUCGGGAAGUACUGUCAGUGAUCGAAGGUUAAAAGAACGACGAGCUGGGAAAAAAAUUGCCCAGCUCGGCGAACAAGCGAACCAAUCGUGCCCCCCGCUCAAGGUGUCAAAAGACAUCGUCGCUAAUGAUCCGUGUAUGGUGCCCAGUUAUAGCAAUCUUGGAGAUUACCUGCCCGACGAUGUACAUUAUGAAAUCAUGGAGGUGGACGAACACAAAUACCAUUACGGGAAGCCUCUCGUCAAAGAUGAAAGAUCUCUAACAACGAUGAUGCGAAGACUACAUGAUUGGUACACGAAAACCUGCAGAGAGUCUGAUGGGAUGGAUACUUUGAUGCUGAGAGUUAAAUCGGAGCAUGACGUCGUUGGAAUUGAUCUGCUGAAUGUUCCAUUUGAGGAUUUCUUCCAGUUUUACAAUCAAAAGGCCCUUGAUAAAACAACGAUCACUUGCUACUGUCUAUUAAAGAUCGCCGAAUUGAAGAAAAGACAAAUCGGUGAUAUUGGGUUCAUUAACACAAAUCUCAUAGAUGCAUAUACGGUUGAAAAAUAUCCCAAAGAAGCCGAGGUCAACUUGCUACAAUCGUUGGUAUUAAAUCAAAACAAAGAUAUAAUAUUCUUUCCUUACAACUUCAACUUCCACUAUAUUCUCCUAGAGAUUAAGCUUGAGCAGGGAGUAGUAACCGUCUUAGACUCGAGACGAAAUGAUCCCCAGGACUAUGCGAACAUGACUCAAAUGCUCGAGAAGGUUUAG